Long non-coding RNA from Labrus mixtus (cuckoo wrasse), 2341 nucleotides. RefSeq lists it as uncharacterized. The record is from RefSeq and is a predicted model, not a curated record. The transcript has 4 exons. Lineage: Eukaryota; Metazoa; Chordata; Actinopteri; Labriformes; Labridae.
UCUCUCACACUCUUUCAAUGAAUACUAAUGCAGCGUGUGGGCCCUCCUCCCAUCUUUUCGCAGGCAGGGAUGGGCGGGCGAGCGGGGAGACAGAGCAGCUCAGUAUCCUCGCUCAUGAAGCAGCCAGUGCUCGACUCGCAGCAGCAGAGCCCAAUGCCUUUUUUUUUUCCUCCCACCCGGCAGCGUUGAGACUUUGUGUUGCCGCUGCAACAAUGCCCAACCUGUGUGAGCGGCGUGCGGCUCCAGAGCAGAGCUGAGAGAGAGAGAGAGAGAGAGGAGAGAGAGGAGAGGACGUCUCUGCCUGCUUUUUGUCAUCUGGAUGGGAAGUGUUUUUUGGGAGGAGAGACAGAAGAAAGCAGCCGGGGAAGGGGAACAACUGGCAGCAGCCAAUCCCCCCCUUCCACCCUCAGACUGGAGACGACGGAGGCCACUGGAGUAUUUGCUUUUAUCUUUCGUUUUUUGUUCUUUUUUUUCCUCAUCGCGCUGCUGGGAGGUGCUUUACCUUUUCAUUUGCUUGCUCUCUCGGUCCUCUGUCUUCUCAUCUAUUUCGCCAUUUACCUGGUCAACAAUUUCUUCUAUUUAUGAGCCAGACAAGGAGGGGGGAGAGAGGCAGAGAGACAGAGAAAAAGAGAAAGAGAAAAGGGGAGGGGGAUUUUUUUUUUUACCCCCUUUUAUUCUCUUUUUUUUUCUCCCCUUCAUUCAUCCUCCCUUUCCUUCUCCAUCGCUUCCACUUCCAGCCUUUUCUAUCCCUGUGCAGCCCACGCUCCCUCCUCCCCUCCUCCCCUCACUGCCUCCCUCUUCCUCCCCCCCUCCCUCCCGCUCCGCUCACUGUCCACCCUUAACUUUGGCUACUUUUUUGACUCCACCUGUGUUUUAAUUUCCUUUCUCCCCCCCCCCCCCCCCCCACUGAUAGAGACGUUUUAAUUGGCUUGCUUGUCUUUUCUAUUUAUGCCUUUUUCACUUUUGUACCUUUUUCCUAUUUCCUGUUCCCCCUUCUCUUUUUUCCUCCCUCCAUCCUAUGCAUCUUUUUUGGGCGAUUCUUAAAUCUAACCAUAGGAGAUUUAAUGCCUCUCCUCUUCUGAAGAGAAUGGGAAGUGGGACUUUUGACCAGCUGCCACCCUGAUAAAGGCGCCCUGGAUUUAGCUGUUUUCCUGUGGAAUUACCCUUUAAAUCCUGGAUUCGACCCCUAAUGAAAACAAAAUUAACAGUCGUUAAAAACUGUCCUUAAUUGGGGACUUUCUUUUUGACUUCUUUUUCUAACGGACUGAAGCUGAUUUUCAAUAUUUCUUUUUUCCAACUAUUGAAUCUUAACGGGAUUUCACUGACGCGGAUUAAAGACUCCAGCAGCAUCUUUGUCUGUUAGUCGAUGUGUUAGACGAGAUUCUUGCCGCCAAAAUCCAUUAAAAUCAAUAUUUUCUAAUGUUAAGGUUUUCAUAGAGAAACAAGCAAACGUCUCAUCGGAGGAGCGAAGGGGAGAACGGACGUGAAGCUGCUCCUGUGGAGUACAGUCACCUCCAAAGUGCUGCUCCCCCCCUCCCCCCACCGCCCCCCCCACCCGACGCAUCCAGGAUUUUACCUAAAACUGCUUUGAGCCUCCCUCAGUCUGAGGCUAUGAGAGGGAGAGAGGAGUCCCAGGCUGUACCAUCAUGCUUCUUCUGAGACGCUGGGAUGAGACUUUGGCUGGCAAAACACAAGGUAAGAAAAACAUCGAUUUCCACAUUUCCUCAUGUUGUCUCUGCAGAGAAUGAAAACACAAAAACAGACCGUGCCUCACCUGGGUGUGUUUGUGCGCCUGUAGCCUCUGUGUGUGUGUUGCCUCUCCUCGAGCUCGGUGAUGGAUGGUCCGUAAACUUUCAGAGACUUUAUUUGCUUCACCAGAUUUUUCUGGAGGGUGAUGUGAAGGGUUGAAGGUGGAGCCUGCAGAUGUUUGGUUCCUGAUGUUUUAGCACAGUUUGCACUUUGAUCAGCUGCUCACCUGACCCCGCUCUUAUUGACUAUCGGGCUCAUCUGCAUGGCUCUACAGGCAUCGAUCAGGCAAUUAAAGGAUUUGUCCGAUGAGAUUUCUGUGGCAGAUGUGAGAAGUGGCGGCUGGGUGCGGGUGCUUUGUGCGAUGAGAUAAAAGAAGACAUCAUUCUCUCUCUCGUCCCGGCACCAAAUUACACAGAGAAAGUGUAUUUCGCCAUGAGGGCCCGAUGCGAGGCCAUUAUCAUAUCAGCACAUUCCAUCGCCUCCUCGUACAUUCAUCUCCUCGCUACAUGGUGCAAAGAGGCUUUCUUCAAAUUUCACCUUUUUUCCCUCCCUCCAUUUUUCUGUUUUCAUCUCAUCCCAUGCUCCGUAAAUC